UAAAUUCGAAUACGCAUACCGUAGACAGUAGGUGCCUGAAGGCUUAAUUUCCUACCGAGGUGUUAUGAUAAAACGUUUGUAAGCAAUAUUCGAUCCUUUAGGGUUGAUGCGCGAUAACGACAUCAUGGCCUUCGCAGUGUCUGCGAAGGCCUUUCUCAUGCAUCGA
Molecule: non-coding RNA, 166 nt
Organism: Paenibacillus sp. Soil522
Lineage: Bacteria; Bacillati; Bacillota; Bacilli; Caryophanales; Paenibacillaceae
Source: Rfam